This is a non-coding RNA of Bactrocera oleae (olive fruit fly), 166 nucleotides long. Lineage: Eukaryota; Metazoa; Arthropoda; Insecta; Diptera; Tephritidae. The record is from RefSeq and is a predicted model, not a curated record.
CUGUUAAGACGAACGAGGAAGGCGUAUUGACAAUAAAACGUAGCAAAGUGUUAACCAUCUACUCAAUCAUUUUGUGUCUAACACUAGUUACAUUAGUCGGGACUGGAUUCAAGGAUUAUAGCAAGGUUAAAUUUUGCGUGAAUUCUUCAACGCUACAAGUGGUCAC